This 800-nucleotide ribosomal RNA is filed under the name Ganoderma obscuratum. RNAcentral describes it as "Ganoderma sp. JH-2022b partial large subunit ribosomal RNA". It matches the Rfam family "Eukaryotic large subunit ribosomal RNA", at positions 142 to 931 of the family's 3401-position model. The record is from RNAcentral. Lineage: Eukaryota; Fungi; Basidiomycota; Agaricomycetes; Polyporales; Polyporaceae.
GUUGUAGUCUGGAGAAGUGCUUUCCGCGCUGGACCGUGUACAAGUCUCUUGGAACAGAGCGUCAUAGAGGGUGAGAAUCCCGUCUUUGACACGGACUACCAGUGCUUUGUGAUGCGCUCUCAAAGAGUCGAGUUGUUUGGGAAUGCAGCUCAAAAUGGGUGGUGAAUUCCAUCUAAAGCUAAAUAUUGGCGAGAGACCGAUAGCGAACAAGUACCGUGAGGGAAAGAUGAAAAGCACUUUGGAAAGAGAGUUAAACAGUACGUGAAAUUGCUGAAAGGGAAACGCUUGAAGUCAGUCGCGUUGUCCGGAACUCAGCCUUGCUUUUGCUUGGUGCACUUUCCGGAUGACGGGUCAGCAUCGAUUUCGACCGUCGGAAAAGGGCUAGAGUAAUGUGGCACCUUCGGGUGUGUUAUAGACUCUGGUCGCAUACGGCGGUUGGGAUCGAGGAACGCAGCGCGCCGUAAGGCAGGGGUUCGCCCACUUUCGCGCUUAGGAUGCUGGCAUAAUGGCUUUAAACGACCCGUCUUGAAACACGGACCAAGGAGUCUAACAUACCUGCGAGUGUUUGGGUGGAAAACCCGAGCGCGUAAUGAAAGUGAAAGUUGAGACUCCUGUCGUGGGAGGCAUCGACGCCCGGACCAGACGUUCUCUGACGGAUCCGCGGUAGAGCAUGUAUGUUGGGACCCGAAAGAUGGUGAACUAUGCCUGAAUAGGGUGAAGCCAGAGGAAACUCUGGUGGAGGCUCGUAGCGAUUCUGACGUGCAAAUCGAUCGUCAAAUUUGGGUAUAGGGGCGAAAGAC